UCUCUUCUUCUCCAGCUACCAAAUGGAGAGAUUUCUAAGACAAAUGGCUUUAUAUCUCCAAUGUGGGGAGGUGUUAUUGUUUGGAAUCCCCAAGGCUGUUUAAAUGAUUCAGAAUUUGAGCCCAGUGCCAAGAACAUAAUUCCAAUACAGGAUCUUGAGAACAUGUUUGAAGUAUUCAUUGG
Long non-coding RNA from Hibiscus syriacus, 182 nucleotides. RefSeq lists it as uncharacterized. The record is from RefSeq and is a predicted model, not a curated record. NCBI's taxonomy places the organism in Eukaryota, Viridiplantae, Streptophyta, Magnoliopsida, Malvales, Malvaceae. The transcript has 3 exons.